RNAcentral lists this transfer RNA (76 nucleotides) under Aeribacillus pallidus. RNAcentral's name for it is "tRNA-Val". The record is from RNAcentral. Lineage: Bacteria; Bacillati; Bacillota; Bacilli; Caryophanales; Bacillaceae.
GAUUCCUUAGCUCAGCAAUGAGAGCAUCACUUUGACAGGGUGGAGGUCGCUAGUUCGAGCCCAGUCGGAAUAAUCA